GCGGGGCAACCUGGCGACGAGUGGCGAACGGGUGAGUAACGCAUCGGAACGUGCCCAGUAGUGGGGGAUAGCCCGGCGAAAGCCGGAUUAAUACCGCAUACGACCUAAGGGUGAAAGCGGGGGAUCGCAAGACCUCGCGCUAUUGGAGCGGCCGAUGUCAGAUUAGGUAGUUGGUGGGGUAAAGGCCUACCAAGCCGACGAUCUGUAGCUGGUCUGAGAGGACGACCAGCCACACUGGGACUGAGACACGGCCCAGACUCCUACGGGAGGCAGCAGUGGGGAAUUUUGGACAAUGGGCGCAAGCCUGAUCCAGCCAUGCCGCGUGCGGGAAGAAGGCCUUCGGGUUGUAAACCGCUUUUGUCAGGGAAGAAAAGGCUCGAACUAAUACUUUGGGCUCAUGACGGUACCUGAAGAAUAAGCACCGGCUAACUACGUGCCAGCAGCCGCGGUAAUACGUAGGGUGCAAGCGUUAAUCGGAAUUACUGGGCGUAAAGCGUGCGCAGGCGGUCUUGUAAGACAGAGGUGAAAUCCCCGGGCUCAACCUGGGAACUGCCUUUGUGACUGCAAGGCUUGAGUACGGUAGAGGGGGAUGGAAUUCCGCGUGUAGCAGUGAAAUGCGUAGAUAUGCGGAGGAACACCGAUGGCGAAGGCAA
RNAcentral lists this ribosomal RNA (653 nucleotides) under uncultured Rubrivivax sp. RNAcentral's name for it is "bacterial SSU rRNA". It matches the Rfam family "Bacterial small subunit ribosomal RNA", at positions 74 to 724 of the family's 1533-position model. The record is from RNAcentral. Lineage: Bacteria; Pseudomonadati; Pseudomonadota; Betaproteobacteria; Burkholderiales; Sphaerotilaceae.